This 477-nucleotide ribosomal RNA is filed under the name uncultured bacterium. Its description in RNAcentral is "bacterial SSU rRNA". It matches the Rfam family "Bacterial small subunit ribosomal RNA", at positions 365 to 832 of the family's 1533-position model. The record is from RNAcentral. RNAcentral also lists the same sequence under 1 other name.
UUCGCAAUGCCCGAAAGGGUGACGAAGCGACGCCGCGUGCGGGAAGAAGGCCUUCGGGUUGUAAACCGCUGUCGGGAGUUAAGAAAUGUAAGGAUGUUAAUAGCGUCUUUACUUGACUAAGGCUCCGGAGGAAGCCACGGCUAACUCUGUGCCAGCAGCCGCGGUAAUACAGAGGCGGCAAGCGUUGUUCGGAAUUAUUGGGCGUAAAGAGCACGUAGGCGGCUAUGUAAGUCGGUUGUGAAAGCCUUCCGCUCAACGGGAGAACAGCAUCCGAUACUGCAUGGCUUGAGUGUGGGAGGGGAGAGUGGAACUUCUGGUGGAGCGGUGAAAUGCGUAGAUAUCAGAAGGAACGCCGGCGGCGAAAGCGGCUCUCUGGCCCAUAACUGACGCUGAGUGUGCGAAAGCUAGGGGAGCAAACGGGAUUAGAUACCCCGGUAGUCCUAGCCGUAAACGAUGGGCACUAAGUAGAGGGGUUUU